CUGGGAAAUGCCCGAACAUUCCCCAUCACCUCCAGCGCCAAGAUCGGACUCAUCUCUUGAAACCCUACAGGGUGCUCCUUCCGACCGCCCUGUUACCGCCGUCCUUGACGCAAUUUCCUGAAAGGAGACAAAGAGCCAUUUACUGGAACCGGGGCUGCCCCUGGAUUCUGAAAACUGACGGGAGGAAGGAAGAGUGUCCGGCCACUGGUCUAGUCCUUCCCGUUCACAGAUCUCAGGAAGUCCUGGGCGUGCCCCAGAGGCCUCGUGUCCAGAUCCUCUUUGCACGCGUCUCCGCGCCUCGAACGCCGUCCUGCUCCUGCUCCUGCUCCGGGCAGAGGAACAAAGGGGAGCAGCUGAGGUUCUCUCUGGGCUGGUCCCCAGGAGCUGCCGGUGGAAUGGGUCUGCGGGGGCCCGAGGACUGACAGGUGAGGCCCCCGCAGGGCCUGCGUAGCUUGCCUUUCGCACGUGCUGGUAGGGGAGGGAUGGGAAAGAAUGUUCCGGAAGGCCUGCAGCUGGGCAUUUGGUGAAGGUGACGUGCUGGUGGGGUCCGCAAGGCUCUGGGCCUGGACCCUCCCACCUGCCUGCAGCCCAGCGUGGGGAGGAGCUGGACCAUUGUAACCCCCACCCCCAGUUUUGGCCUGAACACGGGGGCACAAAUCUCUCGAUUUGGGUGGCAAAGCUUCCCUCAGACGCUGCUCUAAAAUGUGCACACGCCUGCUUCUUUUCGGGACAGGAGAGCUUGGACUCUGACAAACUACACAUUUCAAUUUAUUUAUGUUCUAGAACGGCUAAUUAUAAGGACAUGUGGCCACCAGGAGCGACGUGAUUAUUUAUGCUGCUCUCGCCCCGUGGUCUCCACCAGAAGGGGGGUCUGAGGCAGCUGGGGCCCCAGGGCCUUUGUUGGCAGGGCUCUGGGCUGCUUCUAAGCCUUCGGACCGUCCAGACCGAGGUCCAGCAGUCACCUCA
This 966-nucleotide long non-coding RNA is filed under the name Felis catus (domestic cat). Its description in RNAcentral is "lncRNA (ENSFCAG00000052506.1)". The record is from RNAcentral. Lineage: Eukaryota; Metazoa; Chordata; Mammalia; Carnivora; Felidae.